This 567-nucleotide ribosomal RNA is filed under the name uncultured archaeon. Its description in RNAcentral is "bacterial SSU rRNA". It matches the Rfam family "Archaeal small subunit ribosomal RNA", at positions 312 to 879 of the family's 1478-position model. The record is from RNAcentral.
GCGAAUUCGCCCUUCGGGGUGCACCAGGCGCGAAAACUUUACAAUGCUGGAAACAGCGAUAAGGGGACCUCGAGUGCCAGGUUACAAAUCUGGCUGUCGUGAUGCCUAAAAAGCAUUGCAUAGCAAGGGCCGGGCAAGACCGGUGCCAGCCGCCGCGGUAACACCGGCGGCUCGAGUGGUAACCGUUAUUAUUGGGUCUAAAGGGUCUGUAGCCGGCCGGAUAAGUCUCUUGGGAAAUCCAGCAGCUCAACUGUUGGGCUUUCAGGAGAUACUGUCUGGCUCGAGGCCGGGAGAGGUGAGAGGUACUUCAGGGGUAGGGGUGAAAUCUUGUAAUCCUUGAAGGACCACCAGUGGCGAAGGCGUCUCACCAGAACGGACCUGACGGCAAGGGACGAGAGCUAGGGGCACGAACCGGAUUAGAUACCCGGGUAGUCCUAGCCGUAAACGAUACUCGCUAGGUGUCGGCCACGGUGCGACCGUUGUCGGUGCCGUAGGGAAGCCGUGAAGCGAGCCACCUGGGAAGUACGGCCGCAAGGCUGAAACUUAAAGGAAUUGGCGGGGGAGCAC